RNAcentral lists this ribosomal RNA (465 nucleotides) under uncultured bacterium. RNAcentral's name for it is "partial 16S ribosomal RNA". It matches the Rfam family "Bacterial small subunit ribosomal RNA", at positions 339 to 795 of the family's 1533-position model. The record is from RNAcentral.
CUACGGGUGGCACCAGUGGGGAAUAUUGGACAAUGGGGGAAACCCUGAUCCAGCAAUGCCGCGUGUGUGAAGAAGGCCUGCGGGUUGUAAAGCACUUUCGGUUGGGAGGACUGCUUCUAGCACUAAUAUUGUUGGAAGUUGACGUUACCUUCAGAAGAAGCACCGGCUAACUCCGUGCCAGCAGCCGCGGUAAUACGGAGGGUGUAAGCGUUAAUCGGAAUUACUGGGCGUAAAGCGCGCGUAGGCGGCUAGAUCAGUCGGGUGUGAAAGCCCCGGGCUUAACCUGGGAACUGCAUCCGAUACUGUCUAGCUUGAGUACAGGAGAGGAGAGUGGAAUUCCACAUGUAGCGGUGAAAUGCGUAGAUAUGUGGAGGAACACCAAUGGCGAAGGCAGCUCUCUGGCCUGAUACUGACGCUGAGGUGCGAAAGCGUGGGGAGCAAACAGGAUUAGAUACCCCAGUAGUC